Molecule: RNase P RNA, 372 nt
Filed under: Patescibacteria group bacterium
Lineage: Bacteria
Also listed under: 1 other name
Description: RNase P RNA component class A
Rfam family: Bacterial RNase P class A
About the family: Ribonuclease P (RNase P) is a ubiquitous endoribonuclease, found in archaea, bacteria and eukarya as well as chloroplasts and mitochondria. Its best characterised activity is the generation of mature 5'-ends of tRNAs by cleaving the 5'-leader elements of precursor-tRNAs.
Source: RNAcentral
UUAGGGUAAGUGGGCGAUUACUCCUUUUUGUAAUAAAAAGGGGAGGAAAGUCCGGACUUCAUUUAAGAUAGUGGGUAAUGCCCACCGGGACGCUACGGUUAUAGUCGGGCGUUUCUAGGGAAAGUGCCACAGAGACUAUACUAGUUUCUUUUUAAGAAACGAAACGUGAAAAGGGGCCAGAUGUCUAUAAAAGGCUACUGGUCUCGCCCUUCGGUGACGAAGUUGGCGUGGUAAACCCUAUCUGAAGCAAGAGCAAACUUUUUUUAAUUUAUUUUAGAAAAAGACAAAGUAGCUCGCUUGAGUUUACUAGUAAUAGUAGACCUAGAUAAAUGUCGCCUAAAACAGAAUCCGGCUUACAACUGCUCUAAUAAU